Molecule: ribosomal RNA, 292 nt
Filed under: uncultured bacterium
Lineage: Bacteria
Description: partial 16S ribosomal RNA
Source: RNAcentral
GGACUACAGGGGUAUCUAAUCCCAUUUGCUCCCCUAGCUUUCGUUCCUCAGUGUCAGUUACAGCCCAGCAAGCCGCUUGCGCCACCGGUGUUCUUCCCAAUAUCUACGCAUUUCACCGCUACACUGGGAAUUCCGCUUGCCUCUACUGCACUCCAGUCCACCAGUAUCCAGUGCGAUCCCGAGGUUGAGCCCCGGUCUUUAACACCAGACUUAAUGAACCACCUACGAACUCUUUACGCCCAAUAAAUCCGGACAACGCUCGCAUCCUACGUCUUACCGCGGCUGCUGGCAC